This 929-nucleotide long non-coding RNA is filed under the name Brassica napus (rape). Its description in RNAcentral is "long non-coding RNA (BNAP_LNC012834)". Lineage: Eukaryota; Viridiplantae; Streptophyta; Magnoliopsida; Brassicales; Brassicaceae. The record is from RNAcentral.
AAGGUGAAAAUGGAGGAAAGCUUAUUGGUUUGCAUGGACGUGGUGGUAAUGCUAUUGAUGCCAUUGGAGCUUACUUCGACACCGGUUCACAAGGAGGUAAGGGCGGCGGCGGCGGUUCACAAACUGAUGUCCCCGGGAAGAAGGGACCUCUUGGUGGUGAAAAAGGAGAAGAGUUCAACGAUGUUGGUUUCGAAGGUGUGAAGAAAAUUACCGUUGGAGCCGAUCAAUACAGUGUAACUUACAUCAAGAUCGAAUACGUGAAAGAUGGAAAAGUCGAAAUCCGUGAGCACGGGACAAGUCGUGGGGAACUACAAGAGGUAAUAAAUGCGAUUUUCUGUCACACUAUUCAACUGGUUCGUUACUAAUAUAGAUUUGUUUCUAAUAAACAGUUUUCAGUGGACUAUCCUAACGAUAGUAUUACGGCCGUUAGUGGAACCUACAAACAUAUUUUCACCUAUGAUACGACUCUCAUCACAUCGCUUUACUUCACAACCUCCAAAGGUUUCACCUCUCCAUUAUUCGGUAUCAACAGUGAGAAGAAGGGAACAGAAUUCGAGUUCAAAGGUGAAAAUGGAGGAAAGCUUAUUGGUUUGCAUGGACGUGGUGGUAAUGCUAUUGAUGCAAUUGGAGCUUACUUUGACACCGGUUCACAAGGUGGUGACGGAGGCGACGUCCCUAGUAAAGACGGUCCUAACACUGAUGUCCCCGGGAAGAAGGGACCGCUUGGUGGUGACAAGGGAGAACCAUUCGACGAUGUUGGUUUUGAAGGUGUGAAGAAAAUAACCGUCGGAGUAGACAACUUAAGCAUAACUUAUAUCAAGAUCGAAUACGUAAAAGAUGGAAAAGUUGAAGUCCGUGAGCACGGAACGGCUCGUGGGAAACUACAAGAGGUAUAAAAUAAAUUUAGUGGUGACUCAUGUUUAAAAUAU